RNAcentral lists this ribosomal RNA (165 nucleotides) under uncultured bacterium. Its description in RNAcentral is "partial 16S rRNA". It matches the Rfam family "Bacterial small subunit ribosomal RNA", at positions 355 to 511 of the family's 1533-position model. The record is from RNAcentral.
UAGGGAAUCUUCGGCAAUGGGGGCAACCCAGACCGAGCAACGCCGCGUGAGUGAAGAAGGUUUUCGGAUCGUAAAGCUCUGUUGUAGGAGAAGAACGUGUGUGAGAGUGGAAAGUUCACACAGUGACGGUAACUUACCAGAAAGGGACGGCUAACUACGUGCCAG